This is a long non-coding RNA of Oryzias latipes (Japanese medaka), 2107 nucleotides long. RefSeq lists it as uncharacterized. The record is from RefSeq and is a predicted model, not a curated record. Lineage: Eukaryota; Metazoa; Chordata; Actinopteri; Beloniformes; Adrianichthyidae.
CAAUGACAGUUUGGUUUCAUUCACAGUUGACAGUUUUGCACAAACAUCUGUUCAAAGCCUGGAUCUGCCCAGGUAAGACAUUCCUAUGCCUCUGAGACAAAGGGAAGACUGUUGUGAAGCCAUGGACGUUAUUGGAUGAGGGAUAUUUUCCUGACGAGGGUCUAAAGUGUGAAAUUCUGUUCACAGUGAAGAACACAGUGCUCUCCGAUAAUUACCGACAUUUGUACCAGACCUUUGGUGAAGCUUGUGCGUUCGAGUCAGUUUACUCUAUGAAUAACAUGUCACACAGUCUGGACGCCGGCCCAGAAUCUGAGAUAUGAUACUGUACGUGUUAACGGCCUGUCCUACCCGGUGGGUUGGCUCCCACCAUGAGACUCCUCUGCUCAACUGCACACAGGACCUUCUAGCUCACUGUCACUGUGAUUAUAGGGGGUCAAAUAAUUAUGGGGCGAAGGAAAAAGGAGGAAGAAGAGGUGGGACAGAUAAAGAGGAGAGAGUGAGCAGAAAGUGAAGGGAGGGCCAGUGGAUAUUUAUAGAUAAGAUCAACCAGCGAGGGGAACAAAACAUCCUGUCAGCCAUUUAUGUUUCAACUUCCUGUUCACAGCCUGCAUGUGGGAUGCAGCAGCUAGAUACCUUCUCCUUCAUUCAAGUCAUUGAAAACUAUAUGAUGUGGCUAAAUCAGCAGGGCUGGAACGAGUAUCCAGUUAUUCAGAUAUUCAUAAUGUGCUCAUUAAAAAUUGAGUAUGAAUAUUUAAGACGUCCAAGAUCGCUAAUUCACGAUCUAUAUAAAUUAAGUAGAGCAUAGUUAACAUACAGUUCAGGCUCAAUGUUUUUUGCUCUAAAAUUCAGAAUUAUGCCUUAAAUCUAAAGUAUAAACAAACAAACAAAAAAAGCCGAAUGCGAAGCACUACAGUCACCAGAAGUAAACAAGCCUUGAAAAUAAAGUGUAAGUAAAGCUUCCUUCCAAUUUUCAAAGUAUAACAAUCAAGUGUCUUUUUGUAGUUAAAAAACGAGACUGAAGUUGCAUUUAUUGAUAAGUUCUGAAAAAAAUUGCUUUGACCCUCACACCGCAGCUUUAGUUCUAGAUUUGACAUUUUUUUGAUUAUGGUACCUCUUCAACAGAUGAUACAAUUUCCGUAAUUGCAGCAGAUUCUGAAGUGGAGAAAAUUUGCCUCAUGCUGAUAUUCAGCACUGCACAGCAGUGAAAUGCUUAUGUAAUCACAGUCAAUCAGCUGGUUCUACCGCAGAGAGAAAAGCAGCUUUUUAUACCUGCACUGACAUGCAAUGCCUUAGAAAGUGUUAAACUUGAGGAGUAUGUGUACUAUAUAUAAGUAUUAUACAGUAUGUAUUUUAAAAUGUACUUGUGUCUAACGUGCUCUUCUGAAAGAGGGGAUCCUAAGGUAUAUCCAUGCCAAAUGUGCCUCUUGCACCACAAAAUGUACAAUUACUUUAUUAACCGGCUCCACUAUAAAACAUCCCAGCUGUGGAGAAGAUGUGCUUUGAAGAAUGGACCUAAACAGCAACUACACGGCAAACAGGCUGAAGACCUACAGCUUCGGGAAACCUUUGACCUCUGUCAUUGAAACCGGGGUUACAUUACAAAGUAGUGAGCUGCACUUCAAUUAUUGACCAAAUCCUUAUUUUCUGGGAGAGGCUGCAGAGACCCAGCUCAGGAUGGAACAGAUUCACAUCAUAGGUGUGUGAAAAUGAACAUGCUGUUAUUAUUGGCAUAUUUAGCAACAAUUAAGCUUUCACUAAAUUGUUAAAAAAAGUUGCAAACAAAACCAAAGUAGAGUCAAAGAGUUUCCUGUAGUAAAGAGCAAUUAUUACCAACUAAACGUGACUCAUGACUACUAACUUCUAGUCAUGAGUUCAUCUUAUCUCGACUGAUGCAUCUCAAUCGCAGAGCGCAGCAGCAGUCCACCUGAGCAUUAGCGCACCUGACACUAAAGUUAUUUGGCUUCAACAAUUGAGAUAUUUAAGGACAAAUGUGUAAGUAAAAGUGAGGAUGCGGUCAUGCGACCUGUUGGUUUGUCCUAUGCUGAUUUGAAGCUAAAGUUUCAGCUGCAUCCCCUUCUUCAGCAUUAAUCCUGGGCCUUUCCAAAAA